AAUUUGUUGCGGACAAAUGUAGUGAAUGUGGGUAUCUAUACCACCAGCAGUCAGGAUCUGCCCUUCCCCCGCCACCACUUCAGUGCCCGGGCCAAUCACGAUAUCAACGUUAUCCUGAACAUCCGGAUUGCCGGCUUUACCAAUAUGCGCAAUACGGCCCCCUUUAAUGGCCACAUCGGCUUUGACAAUGCCCCAGUAAUCCAGCACCACCACAUUGGUGAUCACCAUAUCCGGGGUUUCACUGCUGGGCCGCUGGCUUUGUCCCAUGCCAUCACG
Molecule: small RNA, 276 nt
Filed under: uncultured Enterovibrio sp.
Lineage: Bacteria; Pseudomonadati; Pseudomonadota; Gammaproteobacteria; Vibrionales; Vibrionaceae
Description: 5' ureB small RNA
Rfam family: 5' ureB small RNA
Source: RNAcentral